RNAcentral lists this non-coding RNA (925 nucleotides) under Scinax arduous. Its description in RNAcentral is "partial 12S small subunit ribosomal RNA". It matches the Rfam family "Bacterial small subunit ribosomal RNA". Lineage: Eukaryota; Metazoa; Chordata; Amphibia; Anura; Hylidae. The record is from RNAcentral.
UGGUCCUAGCCUUGGAGUCAGCAUCUACUUGAUUUACACAUGCAAGUCUCCGCACCCCUGUGAAAACGCCCUUAAAUUCCCCCAUCGGGAUGAGGAGCCGGUAUCAGGCCCCUUUAGCCCAAGACACCUAGCUAUGCCACACCCACAAGGGUAUUCAGCAGUGAUUAACAUUGAUAAUAAGCGCAAGCUUGAAUCAGUUAAAGUAAGAUUAGAGCCGGCAAAUCUGGUGCCAGCCGCCGCGGUUACACCACGUGACUCAAACUGACCCCCAACGGCGUAAAGCGUGAUUAAAGCUAAUUAAAACUGUAGUCAAACCGGGAUUAAGCCGUGACAUGCUUGUCUCAUAGAAGCCCACAAACGAAAGUUACUACAACUUAAACAACUUGAAUUCACGACAGCUGGGAAACAAACUGGGAUUAGAUACCCCACUAUGCCUAGCCGUAAACCUUAACUUACACCUAAAUCGCCAGGGAACUACGAGCAAAGCUUAAAACCCAAAGGACUUGACGGUCCCCCAUAUCCACCUAGAGGAGCCUGUCCUAUAAUCGAUAAUCCCCGUUCAACCUCACCACUUCUAGCCCAUCAGCCUGUAUACCUCCGUCGUCAGCUUACCCCGUGAGUGACCACAGUGAGCUUAAUGUCCCCCCCCCGUCAAAACGUCAGGUCAAGGUGCAGCUUAUAAAGUGGGAAGAGAUGGGCUACACUCUCUAACCUAGAAAAUACGAAAGACUACUUAUGAAAUCUAGUCGGAAGGCGGAUUUAGAAGUAAGAAGAGACAAGAAAACUCUUUUUAACCUGGCACUGGGGUGUGUACACACCGCCCGUCACCCUCUUCGAAAUCAACAAAACAGUACCUAACUCGCCUAAACAAAAUAGAAGAGGCAAGUCGUAACAUGGUAAGUAUACCGGAAGGUGUACUUGGAAA